RNAcentral lists this ribosomal RNA (2145 nucleotides) under Triticum aestivum (bread wheat). Its description in RNAcentral is "partial small subunit ribosomal RNA". The record is from RNAcentral. Lineage: Eukaryota; Viridiplantae; Streptophyta; Magnoliopsida; Poales; Poaceae.
AUGACUUUCAACAAAUUAGCACCUGCAGCAGUAAGGUUAGCCUUCAUCAUAGCGCUGCUGAAAGCCACCAGCGUUGGAGCAUUGGCGCCACCACCACGCAGCUGCACGAGGGAAUGCGGCGGGGUAGAGAUCCCUUACCCGUUCGGCAUCGACGUCGAGCUAGGCUGCCAAGCCUCCGACGUCCGGCAGGGCUUCAAGCUGGCCUGCCGAGACAGUGGCAGCGGCCGCGGCAGGAGGCUACACUACUACAACAACGAGCUGCUGGACAUCUCGCUGGACAAGGGCCAGGUCCGGUGGCUCAACAACAUCUCCUCCUACUGCUACGACGCCGCCACCGGGGCCAUGAAGGUCAGCAGCCCGCCCUCCAACAUGGACCUGGAGGGGUCCGUCUUCCGGCUCUCCCCCGCCGCCAACAGGUUCACCGUGCUCGGCUGCAAGACGCUGGCCUACAUCGGCGACGCGGACGACGACGCGUCCUACACGGCCGUGUGCGGGGCCACGUGCAAGGGUGGCGACCCCUCGCUGCUGACCAACGGCUCCUGCGAAGGCAUGGGCUGCUGCCGGACGGCGAUCCCCAAGGGGCUGGAGAACUACCGGGUGUGGUUCGACAGGAACUUCAGCGCGCCCACGCCCGCGGCCGGCUGCAGCUACGCGGCGUUAGUCGAGGAGUCCAACUUCACCUUCUCGUCCACCUACCUCUCCUCGUCGGCGUUCGUCGACGCCUACGGCGGGCAGGCGCCGCUGGUGCUGGAUUGGGCUAUCGGAACUCUCGCCGGCGAGACGUGCGAGUCGGCCGGCGCCAAGCCGGAGUCGUACGCGUGCGUCAGCGACCAUAGCGUCUGCGUCGACUCGCCUAUUGGACGAGGCUACAUCUGCAAAUGCAACAAGGGAUACCAGGGAAAUGCUUACCUUCGAGACGGAUGCAAAGAUGUUGACGAGUGCCUUGACCCACAAUAUUGUGAAGGAACAUGCCAUAAUAUCAUUGGAGGCUUCAUCUGCUGUCCUCAGAAAACAAAAUAUGAUCCCCAGAAAAUGCAGUGCACCCCUAUAAAAAAGAACUCUCUUCUCACAGGUGUUAUCCUUGGAGUGGGUGCGGGCUUUGUAAUGCUAUUUCUUGGUUUGAGUGGAAUAUCCCUCUCCUACCGAUGGAAAAGAGGUAUCAAACAACAACAACGUAGGUUGUAUUUCCAAAAAAACCAAGGCCUUCUAUUGGAACAACUCAUAUUGUCAAAUGAAAAUGCAAGUGAUAGAACAAUGAUUUUCUCCUUGGAAGAGUUAGAGAAGGCAACAAACAACUUUGAUGAAACUCGUAUUGUAGGCCAUGGAGGACAUGGAAUGGUAUACAAAGGCAUAUUAUCUGAUCAACGUGUGGUCGCUAUAAAAAGGUCAAAACUUGUUGAGGAAUUUGAGAUCAGUCAGUUUAUUAAUGAGGUCGUAAUCCUCUCCCGGAUAAAUCAUCGAAAUAUAGUGGAGCUCUUUGGAUGUUGUCUUGAAACGGAAGUGCCCCUCUUAGUGUCUGAUUUUAUCCCAAAUGGCUCUUUAUUCGACAUUUUGCAUGGUGAGUCAGCAAGUAGACAGUCUUUAUCAUGGGAUGAUUGUUCGAGGAUUGCUCAGGAAGCUGCUGGGGCUCUCUGUUAUCUACAUACAUCUGCUUCAAUAUCGAUCUUUCAUCGUGAUGUGAAGUCCUCUAAUAUAUUGUUAGAUGGAAAUUUCAUUGCUAAAGUUUCAGAUUUUGGUGCUUCAAGAACAGUUCCUAUUGACCAAACGCAUGUUACUACUAACAUACAAGGAACAUUUGGAUACUUGGAUCCAGAAUAUUAUCAAACUGGGCAACUAAAUGAGAAGAGUGAUGUGUACAGUUUUGGUGUGGUACUCGCAGAGUUACUUACAAGAAAAGAGGCCGUUUUCACAAAUAGUUCAGGUAUAAAGCAAAACUUGUCCAUCUACUUCAUUUCAGAGAUUAAAAUGAAGCCAAUAAGAGAGAUUGUAGCUACUCAAGUUCUUGAAGAAGCAAGCGAGGAUGAAAUUAGUAUCGUCAUCUCUCUUGCGGAGAUGUGUUUGCGUCUCAAGGGGGAAGAAAGGCCUACUAUGAAGCAAGUGGAGAGUACAUUACAAUAUAUGCGAACAAAAAGGUUGGCCUCAUAA